RNAcentral lists this ribosomal RNA (293 nucleotides) under uncultured prokaryote. RNAcentral's name for it is "partial 16S ribosomal RNA". It matches the Rfam family "Archaeal small subunit ribosomal RNA", at positions 455 to 747 of the family's 1478-position model. The record is from RNAcentral.
GUGCCAGCCGCCGCGGUAACACCGGCAGCUCUAGUGGUAGCCAUUUUUAUUGGGCCUAAAGCGUUCGUAGCCGGUUUAAUAAGUCUCUGGUGAAAUCCUGUAGCUUAACUAUUGGAAUUGCUGGAGAUACUAUUAGACUUGAGGUCGGGAGAGGUUAGAGGUACUCCCAGGGUAGGGGUGAAAUCCUGUAAUCCUGGGAGGACCACCUGUGGCGAAGGCGUCUAACUGGAACGAACCUGACGGUGAGGGACGAAAGCUAGGGGCGCGAACCGGGUUAGAUACCCGGGUAGUCC